Molecule: ribosomal RNA, 707 nt
Filed under: uncultured Pseudomonas sp.
Lineage: Bacteria; Pseudomonadati; Pseudomonadota; Gammaproteobacteria; Pseudomonadales; Pseudomonadaceae
Description: bacterial SSU rRNA
Rfam family: Bacterial small subunit ribosomal RNA
Source: RNAcentral
AGAGAUCAUGGCUCAGAUUGAACGCUGGCGGCAGGCCUAACACAUGCAAGUCGAGCGGUAGAGAGAAGCUUGCUUCUCUUGGGAGCGGCGGACGGGUGAGUAAUGCCUAGGAAUCUGCCUGGUAGUGGGGGAUAACGCUCGGAAACGGACGCUAAUACCGCAUACGUCCUACGGGAGAAAGCAGGGGACCUUCGGGCCUUGCGCUAUCAGAUGAGCCUAGGUCGGAUUAGCUAGUUGGUGAGGUAAUGGCUCACCAAGGCGACGAUCCGUAACUGGUCUGAGAGGAUGAUCAGUCACACUGGAACUGAGACACGGUCCAGACUCCUACGGGAGGCAGCAGUGGGGAAUAUUGGACAAUGGGCGAAAGCCUGAUCCAGCCAUGCCGCGUGUGUGAAGAAGGUCUUCGGAUUGUAAAGCACUUUAAGUUGGGAGGAAGGGCAGUUACCUAAUACGUAUCUGUUUUGACGUUACCGACAGAAUAAGCACCGGCUAACUCUGUGCCAGCAGCCGCGGUAAUACAGAGGGUGCAAGCGUUAAUCGGAAUUACUGGGCGUAAAGCGCGCGUAGGUGGUUCGUUAAGUUGGAUGUGAAAGCCCCGGGCUCAACCUGGGAACUGCAUUCAAAACUGACGAGCUAAAUUAUGGUAGAGGGUGGUGGAAUUUCCUGUGUAGCGGUGAUAUGCGUAGAUAUAGGAAGGACCACCAGUG